CGACACCGUGAGGUAGAGCAAAUCACAAAAACUCGGUCUCAGUUCAGAUUGCAGGCUGCAACUCGCCUGCAUGAAGUUGGAAUUGCUAGUAAUCGCGAAUCAGAAUGUCGCGGUGAAUACGUUCCCGGGCCUUGUACACACCGCCCGUCACACCAUGAGAGUCGAUAACACCCGAAGCCUGUGAGCUAACCGUAAGGAGGCAGCAGUCGAAGGUGGGGUUGAUGAUUGGGGUGAAGUCGUAACAAGGUACC
Molecule: ribosomal RNA, 251 nt
Filed under: uncultured bacterium
Lineage: Bacteria
Description: partial 16S ribosomal RNA
Rfam family: Bacterial small subunit ribosomal RNA
Source: RNAcentral